GUUGCUCCUUCAUCCCUAGAUCUCUCAUGUUUUGCUCAAGACCGCGCAACAGUUCCAUAUGACACCGCAUCGCUGUCCUUGCCUAUCAUAUAUCUCAUGAAGUUCGACCAAUGGAUCUAAGGAAGAAGAAAAAGAUUGCAAGCAUGUGGAUCAUGUAAAGGAUAGGUCUGAACGUCGAUGCGCUGGUUAUGGUCAGGCUGUGCGGUCUUGAGCAAUAACGUUGAGACGGAUCUCUUAUUCAAGAUAUUUAU
Molecule: non-coding RNA, 251 nt
Organism: Brachypodium distachyon (stiff brome)
Lineage: Eukaryota; Viridiplantae; Streptophyta; Magnoliopsida; Poales; Poaceae
Source: RefSeq, marked provisional